Pan troglodytes (chimpanzee) is the source of this 8607-nucleotide long non-coding RNA. RefSeq lists it as uncharacterized. The transcript is spliced from 2 exons. NCBI's taxonomy places the organism in Eukaryota, Metazoa, Chordata, Mammalia, Primates, Hominidae. The record is from RefSeq and is a predicted model, not a curated record.
UGUGUGUGUGUGUGUGUGUGUGUGUGUGUGUAUUUUGUCAAGGAUGUCUCCUCAGGAGCUUAGAAGUUGAAAACUCCGUAACAGAAAGAAGCCAGAAACAAAUGUGUGAUAGGCUCAACUAUAUAUUUUCUUUCUUCAACUAACACAUUGCUGCUAUAGAUCCUGGAAGCAGACAGCAUUCAUAUACCAUAUUCUGAGGUUAAGUGUCUGACUCAUCAAUGGGAGCGAAUUUACAUGUGUUGAAAUGUCUUCCAAAUCAAAACAUGGGUCUGUGAGAUGAAAUAGAUAGGCUCAGAAUAUAUGUUUAAAGUCCUGUUGGAUAGGUUUGCAAUCUAUUUGUUUGUCGUAUCUAUGAUAUGACACAGUUCCUAGUUACCUCAGAGGCCCAUUCCAGUUUGAAGGCUUUCAUAUUUGGGGAGAAAGGAGGGCUCUUAAACUGACUUAGCCUCUAAGAAACAUGGUAAUUGAAAGGCAAAAGUGAAUGAGGGGGACAAAAUAUACUAUGGCAUUGGAGAAUAUUUUGCAUGGAAGUAAGUACAACAAUGUUCUUGUCUACACGUUUCAUGAAAUACAACUGGCUAAGGACAAAGAACCACUAGUUUAAAGUUUAUGUGAUGUGCCAGGCACUAGACCAGGUAUCUACAUUUGAUUCUAUUAUCAAUUAAUUUGUAAAACUGAGGUUCAGGGUGGUAGAAAGAUUGAGAAUCGAUUGUAAGUCUGGUUGUAUCUGGUUCAAAGCCUGCUCUACAUACUGAGCUAUUGCAGAAAUGUGAAAGAAUCAGCCACUAAUGACCUGGAUGAUUUUUGCAGAAAUAACAGUGUUCUCAUAUCUAAAACAAUAGAUCUCUCUAAGGUUUAUUCAGAAGGCUCUGAAAACAUGAUUGCAUUCCUAGGAAGUUAAAAAUUGAUUUCAUAAGGUCAUUGGGAAAAUCUCCCUUACUACUUUCAGGCUGAGAAGUAAUUUCCCCCAAGUUUGUAAAAGCCCUCACACCGAUUUAAUUUCAGUUUAUGCAAAGCCCUUUGGGUGUAAAUAAAUGAGAUGCUUUAAUAAGGUAAUUUCUUUUAGAAAAUAGGUAGCAUGACAAAUAACAGGACAAUUGACACCAGAAAUAACUUUCUUGGUUUUACUCAUUCUAGACUGCCUAAUUUAUUUUCACUCCUCAAGAGGAAUAAGGAACAUUGAGCAUGGCCCUAAUUAAAGUCUUGUCACAAGUGUGACAAUAAUUUAGACCUACGUGGAAAUUUUGACUCCUGUUGCAAGACUCUCACAGAACUAGCCCCUGCCCGCCUCUCCAGCUUGUCUCCCCCUACUCAGUUGAAGCCACAUCAGCCCUUCUUGUGGAGUGUCUUUAGACACUCCAGGCCUCAGGAUCUUUCUAUUCUUUUUUGUUUGGAAUGCUCUUCCCGUAGAUCUUUCCAUUUCUAUGGCUUAUUUCCUUUACUCAGGUCUAGCACAGAAGGCUCCUCAUUACAUUGGAGACGUUUACCCACACCAUCUAAAAUAGUGUGAUCCAUCUGCCCCUUCCCACCCUCUCUAUCCUGUUGCUCUGCUCUAUUUUACUUUAUAGAACUUACCUCUUACCUUAUAUUAUAUUGAACAUUUCUUUUUAUUUAUUUUCUCCUUUUACUUCCUCCAAAAACUGUAAGCUCCAAGAUGGUAAAGAGCAUGCUUAUUUUAUCAGUCUCCUCUAGCCCCCAGAAAAACCCCAGUAAUUUCACUGCCCAAUCAAUGCCGUAUUUGCAGCAUGAAUCAAUGGAAUAUGUGGCUGUGAGUUUGUUGAAUGGUAGAUGACCUGGACAAAGCUUCUGGAGAUUAAAAUCCAAGUGAAAGGGCUACUCAAAUUAUUAUUUAUUUUUUCUCUGUCCUUGCCUUAAGUCACGGACUGAAAAUUCCUGGGAUAGGGUGAAACACAGAAGCUGGCAUCAAUUUAAUUAAAAAGGAGCCAUUUUAAAAAGUGGAGCCAUUUUGACCCUAUGUUAAUGAAGGAAAACGAAUGUUGCAGUUGGGGCUUAGCUCCUGGCGGUGCUGCUCCUGCCUUGCAGUGCGUCAGGAGCAUGUUCCCCUGCACCCAGGCAGGUGGCGCCACUUGCCUGGGCAACUAGGGCACCUCCUACAGGAAGGUCAGACACAUAGAACCAUUAAUGUGACAACAUGGAGAAAACCUUUUCUCUACAGUAAGUCUUCAGGAGGAAAAAGCGUGUAAUGGUGGAUACUGGAGUCAGGGAUUGGUAUAAAACCUACUCCCAGUAGGCCAAUAAAUGAAAUAACUAAUUUUAUAAGUGAUAAGAGAUUGAGAGGAGAAAGGUGAGGGAGAGGUGGAAGAUGGUGUGUGUCUUCCCAUUGCUCAUUUAUCUGUCUCUCAUGCUUGUGUCCUACUGGAGAGAGGGGGUGGUGCCUGAAAUGCUUCAGUGAGCCUUAAGUAUACUCCCAGCAUGUAGGUUUACUCUCCCAAUUUUCAGAGUAUGCUGUGAAGAAAAUGUUCACCUACAUUAAUGACAUUUUGUUUCAAAAUGGACCAUUUAUCCAACACAUUAUUGAAUGCUUACUAUACGACAAUGUUUGUACUAAGAACUAAGGCCACAGAGUGUAAUGAAACAUAAUUUCUCUCUACAAGGUGAAGGCAUAUAAAUGAUGUUAUAAAUACCAUGUAAGUGGUAUGAAUAAGAUGUUAUGGGCUCCCCAAGGAGCAUGUGUCUAUAAUUGGGGGAAUUAUGGAAGGACUCAGUUAGACGGUGGUAUUUGAAUUUGAAGGAUGAACAGGACUUUUGUCAGACAGAAAUGUCAGGAAAAGGACAUGCCAUACAGAAAAGCAUGUAUCAAAACAAUGAAUUGGAUUUUGGUAAUGGUAAGAAUUUUGGUUUUUAUGUGUGUGUGUGUGUGUGUGUGUCCCUACUUGAAAGCGUUAUGGCAUAAUGAUGGACAUUAUAUGUCAAGGUUUGUUCAAGGAAAUCUCAGCUACUCUAUGUAUUGCAAGUUUGAAAUGUUUAAUGCAGGGAAUUAGAAGUUUAUUCUCAUUGGAAGGCUUUCGGGGAGAUAAAGACUAUCUCAGUGCAGAAUAUUUAUUGAGGUGAUUUUCAAGUGUUCAUUCAGAAUGUGCUUCAAAUCUCAUGACCACCCAUGUGUCUGCUCACAAUAUCUGGGGAAUAAUGCCCUCCCAAUCUUUGGAAUUUGGAUUUGGAGGCAUUUGCUUUCCAUGUCUUGUGUGAUGCUUCUCAAUAGUGACUCUAAACAAAAACCACAUGGGAAAGAGUACUGCCAGCAUUUCUUUGUUGCCAUCUGCUUUCUGGCAGUGGAAAAUAGACCUUAUGGGUGCUAAAGUGGUACAGAAAUGAUAGCAGACAAUAAAGCUCUGUGAAAGGCAGGUAAGGUUGGCUGGAGUGCCAUUGUACCGGCUUUCAUGACAUCAUAUGUGUUUGCACUUCCUCUUGGAAUCAUUGGAGAUAUUAUUGAAUGUCUUACCUCAGGGAAUGAAAUAAUUAAUUGAGUUUCGGAAGGAUUAAUCUAUACUUUUAUUAUUAGAAAAAUAACUAUAUAUUUAAAGAAAAAAAUAAGGAAUGAAGGAGAGCAAUGUGUUAGUGUUGUUUUUGUGUUCUUAUAAAGAUACCUGAGACUGGGUAAUUUACUAAGAAAAGAGAUUUAAUUGACUCAUGUUUCUAUGGGCUGUACAAGAAGAAUGGUGCCAGUCUCUACUUCUGCUGAGGGCUUCAGGGAGUUUACAGUUAUGGUGGAAGGCAAAGAGGGAGUGGGCCUCUCACAUGGUGUGAGUGGAGGGAGGUGCCACACUCUUUUAAACAACCAGCAGUUGCAUGAACUACCAGAGCGAGAACUCACUUGUUACCAUGGGGAUGGCACCAAGCCAUUCAUGAGGCAUCUGCCUCCAUGACCCAAACACCUCCCAUGAGGCCCCACCUCAAACAAUGGGGAUUACAUUUUAACAUGAGAUUUGGAGGGGACGAACAUCCAAACUAUAUCCAGCAACAUAUGACACUCUGACAUUCAAAUUAUAUGAAGUUUGGAUUAAGGGAAAUAAAAAUGGAAGGUAGAGAAAUCAGUUGUUUCCUGAGCUUUGUCGUUUCCCUAACAGCCAAGUUUUGGUUCUAAGAAAAUUAAAUGAGCACCUAAACACUAACAUUGUGCUUCCAGAAAAGAAUCACCCUGUUCGUCUCCACUUUCACUCUUCGCGAUCCUUAGUCAACUGAUCAGAAACAAAAUUCUGUCUAGAAAGGUCACCCAUGGAUUUCUGUAGCAAACACUUUUAACCAACUACUAAAGAUUUGCUCCUCUUGCAUAAUAUAGAGGAUGCUAUGAAGUGGCUGCCCAGGCAUGGACUAUCAUUUCCAACCCCUUUGGAUCUAGGUGGGACCAUGUCACUGAAUUCUGUUCAAUGGAAUGUGAGUGAAAAUAUAACAAUUCCAAAACUGUCACAUAAAAUCUUCCACCCCUUCCAAACUCUCUUCCCAUCCACUGGCUGGAUAAAACUUUCUUGAAUGACCUGGCAAGCGACAUAAUAGAGGGGAGAUUCUUCAUGAACUUGGGUCUCAGAACCACCUUUACCCUCUAGACCACACUGCCGCCACCACCACCUCCAACUGGACCUUACAUGAGCAAAAACGAAACCAACACCACCACCACCAACAACAAAACACUCAUAUUUUAUUAAGCCACUGAGAUUUUGAAGCUUUUCUGUAAUCACAGCUGGUAAUAUUUUCUCUGUGUUUCUCUGUGGCAAUACGUACCACAUCUUUAGCACAUGAUAUGGCUAUUUAAAUGGGAAUGCUUUUGGAGUACUUGAAAAUAUAGAUAAGGAAUUCAGAAGGCUCUGAAAACAGAAUUUUGGAGUUGUUAGCACAUAGGUAGUAGUUGAAACCAUGGGUGUGGGUAGGAUGAUUCAAGAAGAAUGGGCAGAAUGAGAAAAGAAGGCCAAAGAAGAAAUCUUGGGGAGUCAAACAGUAAGGUUGCAAGCAGAGAAUGAAGCAGUAGCAAAAAGUGUAGCCAGAAGAAUAAACUAUAUUCUGUCCUAGGAUUCAUGAGGACUCAAGGGAAGGAAGAGUGUGUCAAAGGCUGAGGAUAAAUGUUUCACUGGAGUACAGAGAACAAAAGAAAAAUAGCUGUGCACUGAGGAGUGAAAAAGGGAAGUGAAAGUAGAAACAGAAACUGCAGCUGAUUCUAGAAGUACAGCAGUAAGGGAAGGAAAUACAUGCCUUCAAAGUCAGCAAAAUAAGCAGAUUCAUUUUAAGGAUGAGGACAAGUUAGACAGGUUUGUAAGCUAAAAGAGAAUAGCCAUGACAGAGGAUACAGUGAAGAUUCAAAAAACGGUGGUGAAUAUUGAAAAGGCCUUGGAGGACACAUAAUAGAAUGCAAAGUCCACAAGGAGAGGGGCUUUGUGUCUUGUUUCACACUGUGUCCCCAGGCUUAGAAUAUUCUGGCAUCAGAAGGCACUCAGUAAACAUAGAGAGGAAGAAAGGAAGAAGAUGAAAUCAGGAGUACAGAUUAAAGUGUUAUCUUUGGAAGAGAGGCAAGACAUCCUUUGGGACAGAAGGGAAGGAGGGAAAGCUGGGGAACAUGCAGAUAAUACAAGAGGUGCGGUUUGUGACUGAUGGCUGCUAUUUUCUCUGUGAGACUGAAUCCAGACAACUUUGGACAUUCCUUCAUUUGAAGAAUUUUUACUGAACAAUUACAGACCAUUGAUUGAUACAGUGAAGAUCAGAAUGGCAUAGUUUUCCUGUCUUCAUGGAGAUGAAUGAAUGAACUGUAUUUUUUAUUAGCCUAAGCAUGAAUUCUUCCCAAAUUUCCCCCAUGAACCAUAGGAUCCUACCUCUUAACCAUUUUAUGAAAAUUCUAUGGUGAAUUGAGGUCCUCAAGUUGUUUGACAAUAUCUGAUUUUGCCAUGGUCAUGUGGGAAAAGUAGGCAUGUGAGCAAGUCAUAGUUUUACUUGUUUGGAAGAUUCUUCUAAUUAUGUCAAGAUGAAAGGUUUUAUACUGUGUAGAAGGCAGUGUGAGAGAAGUGGACAGUAGAACUCCUAUUUGGUGGGCCAGUGGCUAUAUUUUAAAAUAUGAAGGAUACAUAUUUGACUGUUUAAGUACAAUGAUCUGCCAUGGAUCUAUACUUUUGGGCUGCUGUCUUUUAGGCUAAAGCAAUUAAAGGCAAUGUAAUGAACAUGGUUAUCUGUGGAUGUCCCUUUGAUUGCCAUUGUAUUAUGCUUUACACUGUGAUGGCUCUCUCUUUGAGGAGAGACGCUGUUCCUCCAGGGAGAUAAAAUAUAAAAUAUGAAUCUUACCCUUAAGCAUACACUUCUCCCCACUCUCAAUAUACAGUGGCUCUGGAAUUCAUGCUUCACUUGGGAGUUGAAAGUUUGCGUUUAUAAUUUUAUAUUCUUAUUACAGGCCAGGCUAUUGAGAUUAGAAAGUCUUUAUUUUUCAGUUGGAGUGUGAUGAGCCAUAUUCCCUAUUGUAAACAGCCAUAUUAACCAAGAUAAUUUAAUUUGGAAUGAUUGCUUUUUGCCUUUGAGCUGUAGAUCAAAAGGUUCCAUCAUAUGUACAAAUAAAGUAAAAAAAAUUUUUUCUGUGAAUGUUACAAAAUUUUUUUAUUGUGGUAAAAAACACGUAAGAUCUUUCCUCUUAAAUUUUGGGUGUAUGGUACAGCAUUGUUAACUAUAAGCAUAAUGUUGUAGAGCAGAUCUGUGAAAAUUUUGCCUCUUGUAUGAUUAAAACUUUAUGCUCACGGAACAGCAAUUUUCCCAUUUGUCCCUCUUCCUAGCAUCUAGAAACCAUAAUUUUACUCUAUAUUUCCAUGAGUUUGACUAUUUUAGAUACUUCACAUCGUGGAAUCAAGUACUAUUUGUCUUUCUUGUACUGGCGUAUUUCACUUGGCAUAAUGUCCUCAAGGUAUAUCUAUGUAACAGAAUUUUCUUCUUUUUAUGGCUGAAUAAUAUUCUAUUGUAUAAAUAUAUAGUACAUUUUCUUUAUCCAUACAUAUUGCUGAUAAACUUUUAGGUUGUUUCUAAUUCUUUUCCUUUUUUGAGACGGAAUCUCCCUCUGUCACCCAGGCUGGAGUUCAGUGGCGUGAUCUCGGCUCACUGCAAGCUCGCCGUCCUGGGUUCACGCCAUUCUCCUGCCUCUGCCUCCGGAGUAGCUGGGAUUACAGGCACCUGCCUGCCACCGCGCUCUGCUAAUUUUUUUAUUUUUUUAUUUUUAGUAGAGAUGGUGUUUCACCAUGUUAGCCAGGAUGGUCUCAAUCUCCUGACCUCGUGAUCCGCCCGCCUCGGCCUCCCAAAAUGCUGGGAUUACAGGCAUGAGCCACCGCGCCCGACCAGUUGUUUCUAAUUCUUAUCUGUUGUGAAUAAUGCUGCAAUGAACAUGGAAGGGCAAAUAUCUUCCAUGUCCUGAUUUCAGCUCUUUUGGAUAAAUGCCCAGAAGUGGGAUUGCUGGAUCAAAUGGUAGUUUUUAUUUUUAAUUUUUCUAUCAAUCUCUAUGCUGUUUUUUUUAUAGUGGCAACAUCGUUUUAUAUUCUCGCCAGUAGUGCACACGGUUCAAAUUUUUCCACAUCCUUGCCAACACUUUAUUUUUUUAAUUUUUAAUUUUUUAUAAUGACCAUCAUAAUGAGUGUGAGAUGAUACCUCAGUGUGGUUUUGAUUUGCAUUUCUCUAAUGAUUAGUGAAGAAUGUCUUUUCAUCUGCCUGUUGGUCAUUUGUAUCUCUUCUUUGAAGAUAGUUAUUUUUAUUUUUAUUUUCUGCUAUUGAGUUUCUUGUAUAUUUUUAUAUUAACCCCCUGUCAGAUAUAUGGUUUACAAAUAUUUUCUCUCAUUCUGUAGGUUGCUUUUGUACUCGGUUGAUUAUUUCCUUCACUAUGCAGAAGAUUUUUAGUUUCUGGCUUUUUCAUUUGAUGUAAAUCCAUUUGUCUAUUUUUGCUUUUGUUACUUGUGCUUUUGGUGUCAUAUCCAAGAAUUAAUUGCCAAGACAAAUGUUAUGAAAAUUUUACCCUAUGUUGCCUUCUUGGAGUUUUAUAAAUUCAUGUCUUAUGUUUAAGUCUUUAAUCUAUUUUGAGUUGAUUUUUGUGCAUGGUAUAAAAUAAGGAUCCAAUUUUAUUCUUUUUGAAUGUGAAUAUCUAGUUUUUCCAGCACCAAUUUUUUGAUACUAUCCUUUUCCCAUUGUGUACUCUUGGCAUCCUGUCAAAGAUCAUUUGACUGUAUAUGUGUGGGUUUAUUUCUGGACUCUCAGUAUUGUUCCAUUAGCCUAUAUGUCUAUCUUUAUUCCAGUACCAUGGUCUUUUGAUGACUAUAGCUUUGUAAUAUGUUUUAAAGUUAAAAAGUUUGAGGCCUCCAGUUUUGCUCUUUUUGUCAAGAUUGUUUAGGCUACUUUGGGGUCAUUUGUACUUCUGUACAAUUUUUAGAAUUGUUUUGUCAAUUUCUGCAAAAAAUGUCACUAUGACUUUAAUAGGAAUUGCAUUAAAUGUGUAGACUUUGGGUGGUAUGGACAUUUGAACAAUGUCUUCUAAUCCAUGAACGUGGGAAGUCUUUCCAUUUAUUUGUGUCUUCUUUUCUUUUUUUAACUUUUUUGAGAUUAUGUUGUGCUCUUCAUUGCCAAAAAUAAACACUUUUAAAAACACAA